Molecule: long non-coding RNA, 2887 nt
Organism: Nicotiana attenuata
Lineage: Eukaryota; Viridiplantae; Streptophyta; Magnoliopsida; Solanales; Solanaceae
Exons: 4
Source: RefSeq, a predicted model, not a curated record
ACGAUUCUAAAUUCGACAAUAACAAAAGGAAAAUAUCCGGUCCAUUAAAAUUAAGAUAUCCGGUCGUUAAUGCUACUACAAAUUUGGCAGAAUUUUCCGAAACAAAAAAGCGCCAACAAUCACCGCUAAGAUCUCAGUUCGUUUUCUUUGCCCUAUUCUAAGAACCCUAAGCCCCAAAGUGCAAAAUGAGCACGACACCGGACUCUCCGCUACCAUCGCCUUGUUGCUCUCCCUCUUCAAUUACUGCUCGUUUUGUUGAUUCCAGAGGUUUUCGCUAUUAUAAAUUGGUGUUUUGUCCAAUUUAGGAUUUGUGAUAGAAGAGAUAUAGAUAAUUUUGAUUUGUUGAGAAAGGAUGUUACUAAGCAUCAACAUUGAAGACACAUUGAUCCUUACAUCAGCCUGCAGAGUAGUAAGGUUUUUGCAGAACCUUAUCUGAUUUUAUUUUAAUGGUUUCUACUUCUGUGUAGCAUUACUGGAGUGGUUUUUUGUGCAGUAGUAGGAAAAUAUGAUGUCAGAUUGGUUAAAUUCAGGUGUUUGAGGAUGUUCACAAGCACAACAAGGCCAAAGAUUGCUGGCUUAUCAUCGAUGAUCUUUUUUUAUCUUUGAUACCAAGUUAGUUUUAAUUAUCAGUCAUUUUAUUGUCUUAUCAUCAGCGGAAAGGUUAUUAUAUUAUAGCUUCAUCCAUUUUAUUUUUAUAUUUCUUUUGUGUCACUGGUGAUUUUAGUCAUACUGAUUAUCUAUAUGAGUUUUUGGUUAUCUGUCCUUUUCUUAGCAAUACAUUAGGCAAAUGCCUAGGCCUAGUUUUUAUAUAUAUCUAAAUCAAAAUCAGAAAACAAACCAAAGUAAUGUAGUGUGUUAAAAGAUGUAGAGACAUAAUCUAUGUUGAAUACAUAGCCCUUAAUAUCAUAAUUGAGUAAAAUAUACUCCACUAUGGUAGUAUAUUUUGAACUAGUUGAGAGAUGACAAAGCAAUCUACGUAAGUCGUGAGUAGAAACUAGCCCUAUGAAUGCAGAAAAAGCAUCAAAUAUCCACACUGCCCAGUAGGGAAUGAGCAUUCCUCGUCGCUUGAUGUAAUCCCAUUUUUGCUCUUGUAACUAGUAGUGAUAUCAAGAAACCUCGCCGCAUAUAGUUAAAAUCAAAUACCAGUUCUGGUACCUUGUAGUCACACACAUGUUUUGGUGUGGCCCUCCUUGUACGCAUAGGAUUUGUCCUCCACAUUACAUCACUGUUCCCUACUUGCAACUCCUGCGUGCCUGCAUUCCUCCUUUUUUCUAGUGUCCAGCAAAUGUGUGAGACUGUGAGUAGUUGUGGAUGCAUUGUUUGGUGUGGAAAUCGUGUGUUUUCCAGCAGCAAAAUGAUGAAGCCUUUGUGAGGCACCAUUCAUUGGAUGUAGCUCCCGUUUUUGAAUGCCAAAAAAGUGUAACUUCCAUGUUUAUGUCACUCAGAAUUCUGGGCAGUAUGCUUCUCGAGUAUUCUUUGUUCCUUAUUUUCACCAGUGACAUCCCUUUCUGGGAAUGAGCACAUAAUGCUAAUAUCACCCAUAGAGUUUUAAUCACAUGAUGAGGGAUGGUAACAAUGGCGUUUUCUGUCAUGAAUGAGUCGGAAGUUUCUUGGCAUGUUUCUCCUGUAAAUACCUUCUUUUGUGCCCCUUCUUUGUAGCCUGAUCUGACCAAGGUUAUCUGUCUUUGGAUAUGCAUAUUUUGUUAAUUUUUUCUGUUUAGAUAUCUGUGAUAUAGAAGAUGUUGUGCCUUUAACUUAUCGAAUUAAUUUGGUUUGGUGAUUAACUUUUUCUUUUUGAGCGGUGGUGAUCAACUUUGACCGAAUUAGAUUUCUUAAGUUGGUUUCAAAUUGCCAAUUGUUUCCUAUUAAAGAAGUUCAUUUAUUGACAGAUAGGCAAUGAAUUGUUAGUUGUCUACAAUAUCAUUAGCUCUUUCUAAUUAUUUUAUAAAAGUAUCAUUUGGGACUUUGACUAGUCUAGUUUGUAAUCUAUAUUUUUUGGAGCUUGUUCUGCUAUAUUGAAGUGUUGAAACUUGGAAGGCCAAAGAGUUUAACUUCUCUGACUGAAGGAAUACAAAGAAGCUGAUGGUCUGUACCUAGUAACGAUAUUUUCUACGUAUUAAUAAAAGUCAUAUUCUUAAAUAUGUAUGUAAUUUAGGUAGUUUGUUUUAUCCUUUUCAUGUUUUUUCUAGUUAGUGUUGAAAUAAAUUGUGAAUCUUAUUAAACUGGAAAAACGGAAGCGUUGUUUAUGUUAGUGAUUUAAUACAGAGAAUUCAACGAAGUCAUACAACAGGGGAUGAAAGUAGAAAGAAAUGCUUCAAACUUAAAUUUAUUUUAAGAAGAAAGACGAUUGUUUCUUACUUAUCUUUUGGGUUUAAGUUGUGCGGUUAAUUAUUUUUUCCAUUGACUUUUGUUGUGAUAAAAGAGCAUAGUAUCACAGGUUUUGAGAGCCAGCUCAUUAUAUCAACUCAAGCACUAUGGCACAAUGUUAUUGUUAUAACAAGCAUAUCCCAAUGGGAUGAAUCCAUGGAAAGAGAAGUCAAUCACUUUUUGAUUCAAAGCCUUGGGAAGUUUUACUUAAGGAGAAUGGUUUUGAUUGGAGGAAGACUUGAUUUGGACUUGAAGCAUUAACAAGUUCACAGAUCAAGAAUUUGAAGUCCGACGAACCUGUUCUUGAAGAAAGUGCGGAGCAAAUUGAAGCACAACAGUAUUUUUGUUUUGUUAGUGGUGUUUUAAAGAUGUUGGCAUUUGUACAUUCUACUAUAGUUCUAUUAUCUCUGUUUGUAGAGUUGAUAAAAGUAGUGUCAUGCUAUUUGUUUAGGUAUAUAUUCUGACAGGGUGAUCCUUUAGUUCUUUGUAAUUAACAAUGAAACAUUAAUAAAUUUUAAUU